This 72-nucleotide transfer RNA is filed under the name Fukomys damarensis (Damara mole-rat). It matches the Rfam family "tRNA". From Rfam's summary of the family: Transfer RNA (tRNA) molecules are approximately 80 nucleotides in length. Their secondary structure includes four short double-helical elements and three loops (D, anti-codon, and T loops). Further hydrogen bonds mediate the characteristic L-shaped molecular structure. tRNAs have two regions of fundamental functional importance: the anti-codon, which is responsible for specific mRNA codon recognition, and the 3' end, to which the tRNAs corresponding amino acid is attached (by aminoacyl-tRNA synthetases). tRNAs cope with the degeneracy of the genetic code in two manners: having more than one tRNA (with a specific anti-codon) for a particular amino acid; and 'wobble' base-pairing, i.e. permitting non-standard base-pairing at the 3rd anti-codon position. The record is from Rfam by way of RNAcentral. Lineage: Eukaryota; Metazoa; Chordata; Mammalia; Rodentia; Bathyergidae.
GGGGAUUUAGCUCAGUGGCACCGCAACUGCCUGGAAAGUACAAGGUCCUGGGUUCGAUCCCUAGUACCCCCC